RNAcentral lists this ribosomal RNA (445 nucleotides) under uncultured bacterium. RNAcentral's name for it is "bacterial SSU rRNA". It matches the Rfam family "Bacterial small subunit ribosomal RNA", at positions 338 to 795 of the family's 1533-position model. The record is from RNAcentral.
CCUACGGGCGGCAGCAGUGGGGAAUAUUGCACAAUGGGCGAAAGCCUGAUGCAGCGACGCCACGUGAGGGAUGACGGCCUUCGGGUUGUAAACCUCUUCCAGCAGGGAAGAAGCGCAAGUGACGGUACCUGCAGAAGAAGCGCCGGCUAACUACGUGCCAGCAGCCGCGGUAAUACGUAGGGCGCAAGCGUUGUCCGGAAUUAUUGGGCGUAAAGAGCUCGUAGGCGGUCUGUCGCGCCUGGUGUGAAAUCUUAUGGCUCAACUGUGAGCUUGCAUCGGGUACGGGCAGACUAGAGUGCUGUAGGGGAGACUGGAAUUCCUGGUGUAGCGGUGGAAUGCGCAGAUAUCAGGAGGAACACCGAUGGCGAAGGCAGGUCACUGGUCCAUUACUGACGCUGAGGUGCGAAAGCGUGGGGAGCAAACAGGAUUAGAUACCCGCGUAGUC